CACUCAACACAGUUGGAUAAAUUAGAAUCAAAUGAAAUUUCAUUCUGUAUCCUAACACACAAGGAAGAACAUUGAGAAUUAAUUAAUAAGAAACAAAGAUUAGAACAGACUCACAAAAAGCAAACCUCAAAAACUAGUCACCGGCCAAUAAGUGGACUGCGAUUGAAACUCGGAUCAGUAAGAUCGACGUACGACUGAACGAGACCUCAGAAAAUGACUCCAACAAAGAACUGGUGGAAAUAGUUAUCCGAACAAAAUUUGAAAACUCAAAACUCGCGGGAAAAGGGCUUGCAAUGAGAUUUUGGACUCUUACUGUUUCCAGCUUUUACUUGUUUUAUUUUCUUUAUUGUUUUUGAUUUGUCUUUCAUUUUGGGCUGAAGGUCGUCACCAGGUCAAGGUCUAGUUGUCGUCCACUUUUGCUGCUUUAGUUCCAAAUUCUGAAGAUCUUUUCCGUUGAAGAAGAAGAAACAACGACUGUUGCAGGUCAAAGCCGAUGAGCUCGAGGGUCAUUGGUUUUUGUCUGGUUGUUGGCUGAAGAAGAAGAAUAAGGGGUUGUCCGUUGGGUUGCGUCUUGGGUUGAAGAAGAGGAGGUCGGUGUUGCUGGUCAUUGGAGAAGGGAGGGCGAUAGUCCGAGGGUGGUCCGGCGGCAAAAGGUGUAGUAUUUUCCGGCGCGUCUGGUCUCUUGGGGUUCUUUUGGAGACAGGGCUGCGUGGUGGUACUGUUGAUGUAUCAAGGGUUCAAAAAUGAGGUCUAUUCAGAUAGAGUGAAGGGGAAGGUGGUGGCGGCGUGGUGGUUCAGGCGAGUUUAGUGGUUAUGGAGUCUAGGGUUUGUGUAUUGUGUUGUUGUUGGAAG
Molecule: long non-coding RNA, 852 nt
Filed under: Nicotiana benthamiana
Lineage: Eukaryota; Viridiplantae; Streptophyta; Magnoliopsida; Solanales; Solanaceae
Description: long non-coding RNA (NBEN_LNC021485)
Source: RNAcentral